AUGUGCCAGGGAUGCUUUCCUUGGAGAAAUCAGGCAAACCUGCAGGUGGGGCAACAAGCGACACCAAUUUAUCAAGACCCCUCUGUUGCUGGAUUAAUGAAUGGUCCACAUGUUGAUUACGACAAUAAUCCAGCUCCUAACAGUGGGAGAAACAUUCUGGGAGCAAUUCAAGUAGAUCAAAUGGCAAUGCAGCACGAGGGACAAUAUUUAGACCCCCAUGUUGGACUUACAAAUGGUCUACAUGCUGAUUACACCAUCAAUCUAGCUUCUAAUACUGAGGGAUUGUUUAUGGGAGGAAACCAAUCAAACCUGCCUAUGGAGCAAUAUUUUGAACCAGUUCAUCCAGAGCCCAGUGUUGGUGGAUUUAUGGAUGGUUCACAUGUUUAUUACACCAAUAAUCUGUCUUCUAACAGUGGGACAAACAUUCUGGGAGCAAAUCAAGCAGAACAGAUGGCAGUGCAGCAUGAGGGACAGUAUUUAGCUUGCAAUAUUUCUAGAUUCGUGAAUGGUUCACAGCCUGACUGCACCACUAAUCCAGUUCCUAACAGUGAUAGUUCUGGAAAGCACUAUCAUGCUGAAACAGAAACACAGAUGACUCUGCCAUCCAACAGUUACCCUCUGAAUGAUAACAUGUAUUGUAUGACAUGGGAAACUAACAUGACUAAUGACAACGAGUCAUCACUGGAGCCUUUUACCCCGUGGGAGGAAUUUUAUACAGCAUCUGCAUAUGAUCAUACUCAAGAUGGACAUUAA
This 753-nucleotide ribosomal RNA is filed under the name Triticum aestivum (bread wheat). Its description in RNAcentral is "partial small subunit ribosomal RNA". Lineage: Eukaryota; Viridiplantae; Streptophyta; Magnoliopsida; Poales; Poaceae. The record is from RNAcentral.